Molecule: small nucleolar RNA, 64 nt
Organism: Neogale vison (American mink)
Lineage: Eukaryota; Metazoa; Chordata; Mammalia; Carnivora; Mustelidae
Product: small nucleolar RNA SNORD45
Exons: 1
Source: RefSeq, a predicted model, not a curated record
GGUCAAUGAUGAACUGGCAUGUAUUCUGAAUCCAAAGCUGAUUAUUACUGCUUUAAGAUGCUGG